Cyprinus carpio carpio is the source of this 1218-nucleotide long non-coding RNA. NCBI's taxonomy places the organism in Eukaryota, Metazoa, Chordata, Actinopteri, Cypriniformes, Cyprinidae. The record is from Ensembl.
GUUCUGUUUUUGUGUCCAUACCAUGUGAGCACUAUCCUGAGAUUCCAAGAUGGUCAGCGUCCGGUCGAUCCAGCCUCGAAUUCAAACAAGUGAUCAUCAUUCAAAAUCCUACAUCUCCCAUAAUUGCUCUUCUUUCUUGAGCUAGUAAGCUUCAUCCAGCCAAGUCAUAUUCUAAGCCAUCCAAACAAUAAUGGAUGCUUCCAAACAUCAUAGGAAGCAUCCACAAAGACUGCCUGCAUCCAUCAAUUUGUCUCCUGAUAUCACAAAUAAGUAAAUAGAACAACACAAAUUGUAAGUUGAGGUUUGUGCAUCAAAUCUCAAUAUCUACUGUCCACUACUCUCAAAAGAUUUCUGCAAUAUGCUACACUUCAAACUUCCCUCUCCAUUAUAUGAUUCUCCGCUCCAGAUCUGUUUUUAUAAAACGGCACAAAACCGAUAAGAAGGUUUGUGCAUCAAAACCCAAUAUCUACUGUCCACUACUAUCAAAAGAUUUCUGCAAUACGCUACAUGUGAAACUUCCUCCUUAUGCUUUAUUUGAUUCUCCACUCCAUGAACUGUUUUUAUGAAGCAGCACAAAACCAAUAAAAAGGUUUGUGCAUCAAAACUCAAUCUCUACUGUCCACUACUCGCAAAAGAUUUCUGCAAAACGCUACACUUCAAACUUCCUUCUCCAUUAUAUGAUUCUCCACUCCAUGAACUUUCUAUGAAGCAGCACAAAACCGAUUAAAAAGGUUUGUGCAUCAAAACUCAAUAUCUACUGUCCACUACUCCCAAAAGGUUUCUGCAAUGCGCUACACUUCAAACUUCCUUCUCCAUUAUGAUUCUCCAGUCCAUGAACUGUUUUUAUGAAGCACACAACCGAUAAAAAUAAAAGUGAAUACAAAACCAUUGUUCAAAUAUCUUCAGAAAAUGUCCCAGCAAAACUCUAAACUGAUGCAGGCAUUCAAUAGUCAAAGUUAUUAAACAAAUGAAUAACCGCAAAAGUAACACAAUUAUAUAUUAAAUAUUGGAUGGAUGGCUUGUAUUAUAUUAAAGGCUAUGUACAGCAAAUUUAGAUGCCAGCCAAAGGAGGAUGGCUUGCCCCUGCUGAGUCUGGUUCCUCCCAAGGUUUCUCCCUAUACCUCUCUGCUGAUGAUGCUUCUCUUCACUAAUUUAGGGAGUUUUUCCUUGCCACUGUUGCCUUCUGGCUUGCUCACUGGGGUAUUAAGGCACAAUAUU